ACAUGCAAGUCGAGCGUAGAGAGAAGCUUGUUCUCUUGAGAGCGGCGGACGGUGAGUAAAGCUAGGAAUCUGCUGGUAGUGGGGGAUAACUUCGGAAACGGACGCUAAUACCGCAUACGUCUACGGGAGAAAGCAGGGACCUUCGGGCCUUGCGCUAUCAGAUGAGCUAGGUCGGAUUAGCUAGUUGGUGAGGUAAUGGCUCACCAAGGCGACGAUCCGUAACUGGUCUGAGAGGAUGAUCAGUCACACUGGAACUGAGACACGGUCCAGACUCCUACGGGAGGCAGCAGUGGGGAAUAUUGGACAAUGGGCGAAAGCCUGAUCCAGCCAUGCCGCGUGUGUGAAGAAGGUCUUCGGAUUGUAAAGCACUUUAAGUUGGGAGG
Molecule: ribosomal RNA, 383 nt
Filed under: uncultured bacterium NIC009
Lineage: Bacteria; Pseudomonadati; Pseudomonadota; Gammaproteobacteria
Description: bacterial SSU rRNA
Rfam family: Bacterial small subunit ribosomal RNA
Source: RNAcentral